This 570-nucleotide ribosomal RNA is filed under the name Escherichia coli. Its description in RNAcentral is "partial 23S ribosomal RNA". It matches the Rfam family "Bacterial large subunit ribosomal RNA", at positions 830 to 1396 of the family's 2925-position model. Lineage: Bacteria; Pseudomonadati; Pseudomonadota; Gammaproteobacteria; Enterobacterales; Enterobacteriaceae. The record is from RNAcentral.
CAAUCAAACCGGGAGAUAGCUGGUUCUCCCCGAAAGCUAUUUAGGUAGCGCCUCGUGAAUUCAUCUCCGGGGGUAGAGCACUGUUUCGGCAAGGGGGUCAUCCCGACUUACCAACCCGAUGCAAACUGCGAAUACCGGAGAAUGUUAUCACGGGAGACACACGGCGGGUGCUAACGUCCGUCGUGAAGAGGGAAACAACCCAGACCGCCAGCUAAGGUCCCAAAGUCAUGGUUAAGUGGGAAACGAUGUGGGAAGGCCCAGACAGCCAGGAUGUUGGCUUAGAAGCAGCCAUCAUUUAAAGAAAGCGUAAUAGCUCACUGGUCGAGUCGGCCUGCGCGGAAGAUGUAACGGGGCUAAACCAUGCACCGAAGCUGCGGCAGCGACGCUUAUGCGUUGUUGGGUAGGGGAGCGUUCUGUAAGCCUGCGAAGGUGUGCUGUGAGGCAUGCUGGAGGUAUCAGAAGUGCGAAUGCUGACAUAAGUAACGAUAAAGCGGGUGAAAAGCCCGCUCGCCGGAAGACCAAGGGUUCCUGUCCAACGUUAAUCGGGGCAGGGUGAGUCGACCCCUAAGG